Molecule: long non-coding RNA, 351 nt
Filed under: Solanum tuberosum (potato)
Lineage: Eukaryota; Viridiplantae; Streptophyta; Magnoliopsida; Solanales; Solanaceae
Description: long non-coding RNA (STUB_LNC010080)
Source: RNAcentral
CUGCCCAUACCUGAGCAUCUAGCUCCUUCUGCUGGAGUAGCCUUUUCCGGAAGUCAGCAUGUGCCGUACGGCGGCGGAGGACAUCUUCCGACUCGCUCGCCAUCGGAAUAUUCUCAAUCACCUUGCCUAAAUUCAAAUGACUUGAAGAAAACGAAACAGGAAUAGUGUGAUCUUCUACUCUUCUCUUCUUGAAGAAGUGGAGGUAGCAAUUGAGUGGGCUUAAGCUAAAUUGUGACUUUAUUCAAAGCCCAAUAAUAUCAAAACACUUGAAACAUUAAGACAAAAUCAUAUCCAAAUUUUGAGAUUGUUUAAAGGAAUUUUGAGUUGAUUGAGAUCAGGGGGAAAAAGUUG